This is a non-coding RNA of Zootoca vivipara (common lizard), 443 nucleotides long. The record is from RefSeq and is a predicted model, not a curated record. Lineage: Eukaryota; Metazoa; Chordata; Lepidosauria; Squamata; Lacertidae.
CCCAUUGUGUAACAUGCUCCUCUUUGCCAUAUAAAUACAAGGACAUUUCGAGCAUCUCUCCAUCCCGCCCUCUCUUGAAACACCAUCCAAUCUUUCAGUCAUGAAGAUCUUUGCCUUCCUUACAGCUAUUCUCUUCUUUGUGCUGAUGGCUGCUCCAGCACUUGCGCAGACAUCAGAGCGCGAAUGUCGCAAGAUGGGUGGCAGCUGCUAUGAUGGCUAUUGCCCAGGAGGCACACAUCACAGGGGACAUUGUGGUAACCCAAGAAGAUGGUGCUGCAGAAGAUAGAUGGUGUCAGGGCAGAGCAUUAUGGACAUCCAUAGCCUGAACAUUUUCCGGCCUCUGCAGCCUCCUUCGCUAUGCAUUUGAGCUUUUAAUGGAGCUGAUUCUAUGGUGGAUGUUUUCCUUCUUCUGCUAAUUAAAAAUCUUGCAUUUGAGCACCUAC